UCCACCCAGCCAAGGAUGUCUACACCAAUCCCCGGAUACGGUCCCAGUCCCAGGAAUUUGACUUUACAGAUGGCACAGUGUCCAAUCCGGGCUCACUUGUUUAUGCUUGAUUGUUUACAGCUGUUAUUUGGCAACAAUGGCUGUUAUUCCACACAAACACUCACUUAAACGAAUGAAGUAAAACUUAUGGGUGCAAUUGGCUAACAUCACACAGAAUAAUGUCUUUUGCUUAUAAUGAAACUUAUGAUAUGGAACAUUUGUUUUCUAUAUGUUUAUUUCCUGUCUGCACUUCUUCUGCAGUAAUUCAAAACUUCAGGAUUUGCUGCCUAUUAUGCUUUACACACCUCAAUGGUAGCGGUCCCUAUAAAUAUAACUUGUGCAAAAGUAGUUAAUUAUACAUUUUUGAGUAAAAAACCUCACUUAAUCCAGUGAAAUUUUGAA
Molecule: non-coding RNA, 441 nt
Organism: Notechis scutatus (mainland tiger snake)
Lineage: Eukaryota; Metazoa; Chordata; Lepidosauria; Squamata; Elapidae
Source: RefSeq, a predicted model, not a curated record